CCGGAACCCAUUCGUCAUUCCCGGUACAUUCCCGGUAACUCCGAAAACCUUCCGGUAAUCAAAUGAGGUCAUCCUAUAUAUCAAUCUUCGUUUCUGGACCAUUCCGGAAACCCUCGUGACGUCCGUGAUCUCAUCCUGGACUCCGAACAACAUUCAGUAACCAACCAUAUAACUCAAAUACGCAUAAAACAACGUCGAACCUUAN
Molecule: long non-coding RNA, 205 nt
Filed under: Hordeum vulgare
Lineage: Eukaryota; Viridiplantae; Streptophyta; Magnoliopsida; Poales; Poaceae
Description: long non-coding RNA (HVUL_LNC005552)
Source: RNAcentral